RNAcentral lists this ribosomal RNA (345 nucleotides) under uncultured Acidobacteriota bacterium. RNAcentral describes it as "bacterial SSU rRNA". It matches the Rfam family "Bacterial small subunit ribosomal RNA", at positions 20 to 352 of the family's 1533-position model. Lineage: Bacteria; Pseudomonadati; Acidobacteriota. The record is from RNAcentral.
UGGCUCAGAACGAACGCUGGCGGCGUGCCUAACACAUGUAAGUCGAACGCGAAAGUCCCGCAAGGGAUCAGUAGAGUGGCAAACGGGUGAGUAACACGUGGGUGACCUGCCUUCGAGCGGGGGAUAACGUCCCGAAAGGGACGCUAAUACCGCAUGACAUCCUGCCUUUGAAGAGGUGGACAUCAAAGCCGGGGAUCGCAAGACCUGGCGCUUGAAGAGGGGCCCGCGUCCGAUUAGCUAGUUGGUGGGGUAAUGGCUCACCAAGGCGACGAUCGGUAUCCGGCCUGAGAGGGCGGACGGACACACUGGGACUGAGACACGGCCCAGAGACCUACGGGAGGCAGC